Molecule: long non-coding RNA, 1356 nt
Filed under: Androctonus crassicauda
Lineage: Eukaryota; Metazoa; Arthropoda; Arachnida; Scorpiones; Buthidae
Source: RNAcentral
CUUCUUCUAUCGUAUAUAAAGAAAAAAAAAUUAUUUCUAUUAGAACUCGUAACAAUACUUUUAAAAUCUUACCAGGCUGGUUAAAGUUUUCCAUUUCUUCUCUUUCCAAGUCGAGCUACUACAAUGUAAUAAAAUAUUACAAAGCACAUCGAGUUUAUAUACGUCAACUAAACAUCUGGUCGGGAAACAAUUGGUUUCAAAAGCCUUCUUUUAACACACAUCUGCUUGGGGAAGAACAAAUUUCAAAAGAUUUCUUUUAACCCCUCGGAAAACAAUUGAUUUCAAAAGCUUUCUCUUAACCCCUGUCUAACGGCCAACCAAACAUCUGCUUGGGAAAGAAAUGAUUUCAAAAGCUUUCUCUUAACCCACAUCUGCUUGGAGAAGAACGGAUUUCAAAAGGUUUCUUUUAUCGCCUCGGAAAAGAAUUCUUUUCUUUUAACACCUGUCUAACGGUUCACACACAGCCAAACAUCUGCCAGGUUUCUAGAAAGACUAUAAAAAACGAGCAACAACACUCAAGACCUUACUUCGCUCUAAGAGACCAACUUUUAAGACGCAACUACUACUAACGCUACUACUACUUCUUCACAUUAAUCACAAUAUGGACAUGAUCCAGAAGUUCGAAAGAGGUAAAUUUUUUUUUCUUUAUAAGGAAUUAUUUAGACUAUUUAUUAAUUAUUCAUCAUCGAUUUACAGUUUCAAUCACGGAUAUAGAAGGUUUUUCCUUCAUGACCGGAUAUUCCGCAGAGCUAUUUCCACACUUUCUCUUGAAGACCCGGAGGACGACUACACUACUCACUUCUACACCAUCGAUCCAGCGCACCGCUAUCAUAACUUAUCACCACAAGAAAAGAAAACUAUCAACUUCCAGCGGAGGCUGCACGGUCUUCGAAUAGAAUACGCCCCACUGCAAAGCACACCCGGAUCAACAUGGCGCGAGAAGGACGAGCUGCCUUACCUAAUGCAGCUCGUCUAAAAGAACAACGACGCGAUUCUCUACAAGGAAGGGCAUAUGGAAAGAGACCUGUGCACGAGGUUCGAUAUACAGUACCUUGUAUCGACCUCGAACGCUUGGGGUGCCCAAAAGCGAUUUACAUCGCUGUUAGCUGCCACGAACAUGUGGUUUUCAAGAAUCACUGCAGCCUCUGCGAGGUGACUUCCUACCGAAAAUGGCUCCUACAUCGUCUUCUCACGAUCUAGGAGCCAUUUUCGGUGUCCUAAAUAUCUUAUCUUGUAAAAAUCAUCUUGUAAAUAUCAUCUUAAUACACAUCUUGUAAAUAUCAUCUUGUAAACAUCAUCUUAAUACACAUCUUGUAAAUAUCAUCUUGUAAACAUCAUCUUAAUACACAUCUUGUA